RNAcentral lists this transfer RNA (77 nucleotides) under Bifidobacteriaceae bacterium. Its description in RNAcentral is "tRNA-Pro". It matches the Rfam family "tRNA". Rfam says of the family: Transfer RNA (tRNA) molecules are approximately 80 nucleotides in length. Their secondary structure includes four short double-helical elements and three loops (D, anti-codon, and T loops). Further hydrogen bonds mediate the characteristic L-shaped molecular structure. tRNAs have two regions of fundamental functional importance: the anti-codon, which is responsible for specific mRNA codon recognition, and the 3' end, to which the tRNAs corresponding amino acid is attached (by aminoacyl-tRNA synthetases). tRNAs cope with the degeneracy of the genetic code in two manners: having more than one tRNA (with a specific anti-codon) for a particular amino acid; and 'wobble' base-pairing, i.e. permitting non-standard base-pairing at the 3rd anti-codon position. Lineage: Bacteria; Bacillati; Actinomycetota; Actinomycetes; Bifidobacteriales; Bifidobacteriaceae. The record is from RNAcentral.
CGGGAUGUGGCGCAGCUUGGUAGCGCACCUGCUUUGGGAGCAGGGGGCCGUGGGUUCAAAUCCCACCAUCCCGACCA